RNAcentral lists this ribosomal RNA (251 nucleotides) under uncultured prokaryote. RNAcentral describes it as "partial 16S rRNA". It matches the Rfam family "Bacterial small subunit ribosomal RNA", at positions 525 to 775 of the family's 1533-position model. The record is from RNAcentral.
ACGGAGGAUCCGAGCGUUAUCCGGAUUUAUUGGGUUUAAAGGGUGCGUAGGCUGGUUUUUAAGUCAGCUGUGAAAUACCGACGCUUACCGUCGGCACUGCAGUUGAAACUGGGAACCUUGAGAGUGCAAGAGGCAUGCGGAAUUCAUGGUGUAGCGGUGAAAUGCGUAGAUAUUAGGAGGAACACCAGUGGCGAAGGCGGAUUGCUGGACGACAACUGACGGUGAGGCGCGAAAGCGUGGGGAGCAAACAG